AGAAAUAAAAUAAAAAUCUAAAAAAGCAUUCUCUCUAAAACAUAACUCUCCGCCUCUCAAAAUCCUUAAACCUAAUUUUGGCAGCGGAGCUACCGUCUAUUCUCUUUAUCUAAAAUCGUUGUCCCUUUCUCGUUUUCUCAAGUCUUAAUCUUCAUCUCCGUUAUUUGCCAAAACCAGUUUUCGACAAAUCAACUCUCGAUACUUGUUCUAUUCACCGUUGUUGGACCUAGGCGUGUACACUUGACCCUGUGCCUAGAACUCGCCGGAAUCCUUCUUGCCUACUCUGUCGCCAUUGUCAGGAAGCAUGUAGAUUCAUAUAUUCAAAGAGAGCUUCAGGAUUUGGAGACUUCCGUUUACAAGUCAUGAUGCAAAUUUGAAUGUUUUGAAAAAGUUGACAAGUUAGUUAAUGUUUGCCAAUAUUGUUUGGCAAAACAUUUUAUUAUGUACUUAGGGGUACUGUUAGAUUCUUUGGCUAAUGAGUUGUGUAUAUGGUAUCGUGACUAUAUAUUUUUGUAAAUAAUAUUUCUUAUGGAAUAUUAAUCCGAACCUCUAUUUAAUUCGAUUGA
Nicotiana tabacum (common tobacco) is the source of this 566-nucleotide long non-coding RNA. RefSeq lists it as uncharacterized. The record is from RefSeq and is a predicted model, not a curated record. NCBI's taxonomy places the organism in Eukaryota, Viridiplantae, Streptophyta, Magnoliopsida, Solanales, Solanaceae.